Dendronephthya gigantea is the source of this 268-nucleotide long non-coding RNA. RefSeq lists it as uncharacterized. The record is from RefSeq and is a predicted model, not a curated record. NCBI's taxonomy places the organism in Eukaryota, Metazoa, Cnidaria, Anthozoa, Malacalcyonacea, Nephtheidae. The transcript has 3 exons.
GGACUAACUAUAGGAAAAUGAUGGGGUUCAAAUUUUCUUGGUACUUACCUCCCUGCUGUGUGUCAAUCUAUUUUUCGUAAAAUGAUCCUGAGGGAUCCGUUUUAGUUGGUAAUUUCCAAGAUGGCUGCCACCAUCUGAGAGAAACGAACCCAUUAUUAUUUCUUCACACAAACUUCGAAGAAAACUUGGUGGCCAAAAACUUUGUAAAUGGUGUUCUUUCCAAAAAUAAUGUAAUAAUUCUAAGAUGUGACGAACAGUGACAAGGUAC